GACCCUUGAGACCAUGGGUAAAGAAACACUUUGUUAGUGGUGUUACUCUUAUAUCAGUCAAGGGCAGAGCAGAUGGCAGUCUUUUGUUUACCCUAGCUUGAUGCCUGGCUUGGUAUUCCAAGCUGUUUUAUGCCUAUGACUCAUAA
Molecule: small nucleolar RNA, 146 nt
Organism: Meriones unguiculatus (Mongolian gerbil)
Lineage: Eukaryota; Metazoa; Chordata; Mammalia; Rodentia; Muridae
Source: Ensembl